Molecule: ribosomal RNA, 303 nt
Filed under: uncultured bacterium
Lineage: Bacteria
Description: partial 16S ribosomal RNA
Rfam family: Bacterial small subunit ribosomal RNA
Source: RNAcentral
AGCAGUAGCCGCGGUAAAACGGAGGGCGCGAGCGUUACCCGGAUUUACUGGGCGUAAAGGGCGUGUAGGCGGCCUGGGGCGUCCCAUGUGAAAGGCCACGGCUCAACCGUGGAGGAGCGUGGGAUACGCUCAGGCUAGAGGGUGGGAGAGGGUGGUGGAAUUCCCGGAGUAGCGGUGAAAUGCGCAGAUACCGGGAGGAACGCCGAUGGCGAAGGCAGCCACCUGGUCCACUUCUGACGCUGAGGCGCGAAAGCGUGGGGAGCAAACCGGAUUAGAUACCCCAGUAGUCCCUGUCUCUUAUAC